RNAcentral lists this long non-coding RNA (697 nucleotides) under Hordeum vulgare. RNAcentral's name for it is "long non-coding RNA (HVUL_LNC001179)". The record is from RNAcentral. Lineage: Eukaryota; Viridiplantae; Streptophyta; Magnoliopsida; Poales; Poaceae.
CCCAAAGUCGACCAGUGAGGUGAUUGUGAUUGGGGAAGCGAGGAAGAGGGCACUAUGAGCAGAAAGGAAUGAUCAACCACCGUGAUGGCGGACGGUUGUGGGUAGACCCGGUGUCUACACGUGGAUUUGCUAGACGGGAUAUGACAUGACAUGGUUGUUGUGUGGUGAGGUGCCAUGGGAUAAGACAUGACAUGACACGGGAUAUAACUGACGUCUGGGUGUGUUUGGUUGUCACCGGCAGGGCACUCUGCUAUGUGUGCUGCCACAUAGUCUGAGCUCCCUUGUGUGGCUUAGUGGUUGCAAACUUCUUACAAUGAAUAAGGCCUCACUACAAGGACAUAAAAUAUAUCCAUUUGUGUCGAGAGAAAUCAUCUUUAAAGAUAAUAUAGUAACGAUGGCUCCUUCCGAGGGAAGGGAGCCGGACCACAAACAUUAGAGUGAGCAAGAUCAAAAGGACGCUGAAACAGUCUUGCUAUGAGCAUAGGGUAACUGGUGGAUGUGGAGCUAGGGCUAAAUGGCGUUGAGUACGGAAGUUUGUUCUAGUGCGAGUCAAUAUCAAACUAAAAAAAGACCUUUGAGGUUUUCAUGGUCUGGUGAGCGAAGUAAACCACCCCGAAUAUUUCCUAUGCUAUUCGAGAAGCUGUCGUGUUUUUGUGCAAAUCAAGAUAUGAUUGGCCAUGUUAUAGAACAAUGUGGG